Molecule: long non-coding RNA, 7123 nt
Organism: Numida meleagris (helmeted guineafowl)
Lineage: Eukaryota; Metazoa; Chordata; Aves; Galliformes; Numididae
Exons: 3
Source: RefSeq, a predicted model, not a curated record
UCCAUGCUCUUCCUGCACUUCCAGCUUCUUGCUUUGUGGUUCUGGGAUGGAAAUCUGGAAGAACUCCAAAACUUCAGAGAUUUUAGAAGAGGACAGUGGUUUGUUCCUUUUCAGAAUUUUGAAACAAGAUUGACUAAAAAUCUCAACAAGUAUACACACAAAGUAUUAACUCUAAACAAAAUCCGAGAUGCCAAUAUACUACAGUAACAAGAUAUAGGGUGAAGCUACUAAAGUAUAUUAAGUUGUCUUUGGAACAUCUCAUGUUCUUCUAUUUAGAAAAGGCCAUAUACACCCAGUACAUAUUUGCAACCAGUGUAAUUCCUUCCUAUUGCCUUCAGAAAGUUUUGGAUAGCUUAAAGCGUUUGCUAUAAUAUGUACUUUGGAUGACACUGAAAACAAGGGAGGGAAGGGGAAAAAAAACAGAACACCAACCAAAUGCAUAGAGGAAAAAAAAAAAACCAGAAACACAUCUCAGUUGUAAUCUAGUGCCUGCUUUCAUCUUCACUUUUUCUCUUUGUUCUCACCUUGGCUGGCAUAAAAACAGCCUUGGCGGUGAUGGAAAGUUUCAUUUCUGAAUUUUGAAGCCAGUCUAAUGUCUUUCAUAAGAUAACAUCCUCAGUUACCUCUGCAUUAGUACAUGCUGAGAAGUUUUGUGGAUUUGAAUGUGAGGGAGUCAGAAGCCUGAAAGAGUCAGGUUUGUUAACAAGUCAACAGCCUCUUUCACAAUACUUCCAGUCUAACCUGAAAUGGAUGGUACCAGGCACUGCAGGGAAAAAACUACUCCUAACAGCUUCUGUGGAGAGUUUGUAGAUGGUGGAAAAGGCACUCUUUGUUCAUGCUGUAUGCUAGAACCGAUUUAUUACAUAUGUAACAAUAAUGCAUGUUAUUAUUUCAAGACAUGCUGCUGUUCUUCUUGACUGCCUUGUGCCUCUGCAGUGCAGAACAACCACGCUCCCUUCCAGUUGGUAUGAGGUAUGUUUCAGCCCUCUCCUUGUUCUCCCUUUCCCCUCUGGCAGAGCACUGGCCUAGGAGAAGGCACGACUGCUCCUCACAGAGCUGCACCAGCCCCACGCAGCCCCAGCCUUGCACCACUUGAACGUUGCUGGUCUUUGAUGGGAUUAGUACCAAUGUGCCCACAAGUCGUUCGGUAUCAGCUGAGCAGCAUUUACUUCAACAGCCCUGGCUCAGCCUCUGUCUCACCAAAACCUGUUGAAAAACCUGUGGCCUCUGUCCUGUCUGAAGUAGAGCCCCAGGGAAUUUAGUACCUGUACCUACGAGCCCCUUCUGACCCUGAUAAUGUUGAUAUCUGGUACUAUUCCUUCAUCUCUUUUGUAAAGUUGAAUUCUCAAUUCUGUACUGGGAACUGUGUCUUGACUGAGAGGGCUAUCUGUGAGAAGACAGAAGAGUUGUUAGGAAAAGUAAGAAUCAACAACAAUUACUAUGGAAACAGAGCUCACGCUUUUUCCUGCAAACAGCAGGAUACUUACCCGUUUUUUAGGCACUGAAGAAUGGUGGUUCUAGAGAUGAGCGCCGUUCUCAGGAAAAUCCCCUUUUCCUUCAAUUUCCAAAUACUAUUGGCUGUAACACUGCACCUGGCCAUAACAUUCUAUGGAAGUCACUGAUGGCGAUUUAAUUAAAAUAGCCUGAUGUGAACCUGGGAGUGAUGAUUAAGCCUAAAGUUCAAUGGGGAGUCCACGUGAGAAACAGCACUGACAUUUUUGUCAACCCCUAUUUAUCAAUGGCUGCAUUGCAUCAGCUGGGAUUUCUUCACUCUAUCAGGUGUAAUAGAUGAAGAAUCACAAUGGGACUGUGUGCUAUGGUUAAGUCUGAUGUUUGUUUUUUUAAAAAAAUUCAUUAACGGAAAAAGCAUAUUUUCUUGCAGAUAGUUGUAUUUCCAGCGGUGAGGGAACAUUAAUAAGAUUUUUUGAUGCUUCAAAGGCUGAAGUCCCCUGAAUAGUUAGCUCUUGAUGAAAGGCAGGGAGUUGCAGUGCUUCUGUGGUAGGUGACUUCUUCAGCAGUGCAAAGAUUGAGAAUACGUAAGGAAUGGGUCAAGAGAGGAAAAGCAAGAUUGCCCCAUUAAAAUACCAUCCUCAUUAAAUAUGGCCUCAUUCCUCGAAGUAAUCAGCUUCAUACAUGCAUUGGUUUGGAAUCUUUUCUACUGAAAUUUGUCAAAUGCAGAGUAUUUUUAAUGGGAAAAAAAUGUAUCGUGUUCCAUAGAUGCUUAUUAGUCUGCAUUAAAGACAAAGCUGAGGGUAGAGUUGGUGUAAAUCCCUGAAAGUCAGUGAUGACAAAUUUAUUUUCCUGUUCAGUGUUUUUAAUAAGUAUUUAUAAGAACAGAUGGUGGGCAGCAGCAGAACAUGUUCAGUUUUAUCGAGACAUUUGGCUAACAAGCACAGACUAAGAUGCAUUUCUUUCCUUCUCGACUUAAUAAUUUUAAUUAGAGGCAAAAGGUGUGGUAGUCUCAUUGUCUGGAGGCAUAUGUGCAAUAUUGUGUUGGCUGGGCAGGGCUGGGUGGGAGAGAAUAUCACUGCCUGUAAUGAAGGGUGGUGCAUAUCUAUGCAAUCUCUAUUUUUUUUUAUUGUCUGGUAAUCUAAAAAAUGCAAAUUCCAAAUCUGCUAUUGCACAACACAGAGAGAGAUACACUGAGGCUAUGCUUUCAGUUAGUCAGAGAACAAAAACAUGACUACAAAACGUGUAUAAGUAAUACACACUGUCGCUGGAGAAGAAAGGCUUUUUAACAAAUAGUGGGACAUGUAUUUAUUAUCUUGAUGGGGAAUUUCAAAGUUCCCCAUGGAACUUAGCGGUCUCUGGAACUCCUUUGCUAUUUAAAUGCUUUUGAAAAUCUCACUUAUUAAGUACUCAUUUUGAACUUUAUAUGCUCCCUCCCUAAGGACAUCAAAGUGUUCUGGAAGUAGUAAUUAAAGAUCAUAUGCUCUAAUGGUGUUCUGGUCAUUUAACCUACUUAUCUCUGGUCAUGUUCUAGUUAUUUUCCAGAUGGACUUACCCAGGCUGGAUGUGGCUUUUGUCCUUUACCACUGAGCCAAGCCCCAGCGCAGAGCUGCUUCUCCUGUGCUUGGAUACAGCAGUGGGAGGUGGGGAGCAUAACAGAACAGGGCUGGUCCCAAAAGGAACCACUGAAAUGAGAUUUGUACCCUGAGCAGCCCUGCCACGACAUUCUUACUGAAUGCUCCUUCUGUGUGAAUGGAUUAUGAAAACAUUCAAAAUGUCAUCUUGUGAAUGCUAUUUUCUUAGAGCAGUGUGCUUCAGAUAUUUUCCACUAGAAGCUAAGCUGCCCUCAUGUUCGGCUCUCAUAGUCCUCUUGAAGAUGGUUGGCUGGUAUACCAUCAUAAGGAAACGUCAUGGUAUAUAAGCAGAGUACUUUCUAACAAAAAAUCUGCUAUUGACUUCAGAUUUUCAUUCAUGUAAGUGUGAAACUUUAAACAGAUGAUUUAUAUAUAUAUAUAUUUUAUAAGACUUUAUUGAAGAUUUUCCCUUACUGAGUGAAGUUUACUUCUUGAGAACAGUUUAAAUAGCUAUCCUCCUCCUGGCUGUAAAAGGGCAGCACAGCUUUAUCAGUCAUUAUCUCACGGCCUUUGAUCAGUGCUGUUCAUCUCACUGUGCACAGCUACCAGUGUUACCUGUGCGGCUCUUUACGACUACAGACUUUUUUUUUAUGUUCUCAGUGACUGUGUAUCUCUUGCUGGGAUUAGUGCCAUUUCUGAACUGUAUUACCAAGACUUAUGAGGUAGCCUGGGUGCUUGAUCUAGUGGUUGCCAACGCUGCCCACAGCAGGGGGUUGGAACUCAGUGAUCGUUAAGAUCCCUUCCAACACAAGCCAUAUGAUGAUUCUGUGAGACAGAGAGCGCUUGUCUCACCUGUCCAGCUGCUGGAGUCUUCCCAUGCAGUGCUUGACGCUGAGAGCAGAGGUUUUGCUCACAUGCACAGCUGUCAUCCAGACACAAGUCACAUCGGAAGUCUGUAAGGUCACCACUUAAAGGGAUUAGUGUUCUAGUCCUUAUGGUCUACCAGACCUUUCCAUAUAUCAAACAUAUGCUUGGACCAUGGAAAUGCUGGAGGAAGAGGCAGCCAGGAUGUCCUGUGAUAACUCUGUGCAGCAGUCCCUGUGGAUGCCUGCACUUUGGGAAGUUCCAGAGCUUGAUGGUCAGCAGUAAACCAGGGCAGCAAAGAAACCAGGGCCAAACACUGAAAUAGGUAACUUCAGAUGGCUCCUAUAGGCAGACUGACACGUACGGAGGUUUGGAGAUCUGAUCUCAAGUGGCACAGCUGGCACUGCUCUGCUGCCUGGAGAAGAGCUGCUUUGGUUACAUGUGGUGAGGUGCUGGCCCCGAGCAUCCAGACUGCUUCAUCCUAUUGGUCUGAGAUGAAAAAUACAGAUUUUGUUGGCUUACAAGGGUAGGAAGGAUUUAUCUCCUACAGGGCAUGUCCAAUCAGUUAUGUUUCUUAGAUGUUGUGUACUGUUUUUGAAAAGAGAGAGAAAUGGUUUGCUAGGAACAAACCUGUCUCUCCCCAUCUAAUCACCCGGAGAAAAAAGCUGUUGAAAACAAAUUUACUUGUUCCUGUGUGUAUCUUCCCAGCCAUUAAGCUGGUGUGUAGGAAACUGAGCUUUGCACGCGCUCCUUCCUUGCCCUUCUGCCCUUAAUUGAGUAAUAUACUAUUCUGUGAAUAGAUCCACUGGUUUCAACUCACUGGUAUGAAUGUGUCAGGUCAGCAGUGAAUGCCAGUCCACACACUGCUGUGUAAGAGGCAGGGCAGUACCUGCAAUUUUAUUCUAAUGUGCAAUUAACACAAAUAAUCUGACUUUGGAUCAAGUAACAAAAAAGAUACAAGAAUGAAGAUAAAAAUUCAGAGCACUAAGUUUUUACUAGUUGUCUGCACAGAUGUAGGGAUGACCUAGCACUGUUAGCACAAAGAAUAUUCACGCUGGGGGCUGUCAGUUCCGGACCUUGGCCCUUCUGCUGCUGCUGCAGGGGCUGACUGGUGGCACAGGUGAUGAGCCUGUCACAGCACUGUCAGAGCGGUGGUCUAAAACUGGCUAUGGAGUGCUCUGCAGGCUACCACAUGUACCCUGGCUGCUGCUCAGUGGGUUUCAAAGAAGGCUUUUCUCCUUCCACUGCCACUAAGGAAAUACAAAGGCUCUCAAUACCUGCUUUCCAGCCACUUGCCUUCACUGGUACUCGGCUCUUGGAGCUGCUCUGAGGGCCACCAAGAGAACACUGAUCUCGAGUAAGUUCCCCAUACUUAAUCCACAUAUGUCCAUGUGCAUACUGUUUGUGCUAUUUCUACAGCACUGCAGAAAUCUUCUGUUUUCCUCGCAUAUAUGCGAAGUGCAGCUUUGCUUCUGCCAUCAUCUCACAAUUUUACUGUGACUUGAAAAAAGAGUGUGCAUGGGGCAGGACAGCACACCGGGAGUUCAGGGAGGAGAACACUACAACAUUGGAUUAAAACAAUUCUGAAGGGUGAGUAAUGGAAAGCUGGCAGUUAAUUUUUGGUGUCUUGCUUAGCACAUACCUCCACAGAACCUCUACACGUGUGUUAUCAAAGUGACUCUCUAAGCAAAAACCUAGGUGAUAUACAAAGAACAGAACAGACUUUCCACGUCCAUUUCAUUUAAUUCCAUUAGCCAAUUUCACAGCUGAUUUGUCAGAGGGAAGCCUAUUUACGAAGACAACCUGAGUAAAUAUGAUUGAUUGCCUCGUCAGCCCCUGUAAUUUCACUUUUUAUAGUUCUCAUAUCAGAUAUGUGAUUUCAGACUUCAGAAGGAAUGGAAAGAAUAGAGAAAAGAAGCAACAGUUUGACCAAGAUUUACAUCAGACGUACAUCAAGUAGAAGAGUUAGGAACCAUAUUUGAGACUUAAAAGGCUUAAGGAAAAAGCCUGUUAUAUAAAAAAUGCUGUGACGAUGUAUAUUCUCAUAUGUCAACUGUUAUUCAGCAGUUGUUAUUAUGUGAUAUAUGAGCUCCAGGAUGAAGUCAUAUGAACAAUAUUUCCUCAUGUUUUACACUGAACUGUAUAAUGUAUGUAUGCAUUCUGCAUGUCCAAAGCAUUAAUUAAAUCCUAUUAAGUAAACUCUGCAUUUUGGGAGGCAGAAUUAAACUUGAGUAAAGCAUAACAGUCAUUAAGUUCAUUUGCUUUAAUUUAGAAAAUGCUCCUAUCAUAAACAUCUAUUGCUAGUACUCAAAAAGGCGUAAAGUAUGUUUUGGCAAUUUGAUUGCAAAAGCACUGAACAGAACAGUCUAUAUUCCUCCCCAAGCCUUCCCCCUCCGAAAAGGAGAAAAAGUGCAAUGUUUCUAUAGAAAAAUAACAUGAACAAAUAGCUAGAUUUUGAAACAUGUCUUAAAGGCUGAAAUUUUAAGUGUUUUUUUUUCAGUGAAAAGAAGCUAGUCAGUGCUCCCCAUCACCCUGUAUUAAUUUUCUGUCUGCAUAAUCAUUCCCACUUUCAGUGGCUCUUAUUCAUGUUCCAAAUGGAUGGAUGUGUCCAAAUGAAAAAAAUAAAAUACAUAGAUCAUGCACUCUACAAGGGAAAAGGGAAUACUGAUAUCUUGACUAACAUCAGGAAUGGUUUUGAAGUGAUGGAGGUCUAUAGAGCAUGUAUAACACGUGGUACAUGUGAGAGGCUUUUAGAUAAGUUACUACACAACUGCUGUUCCCUUCUGGGGAAGGGAGGUCUCUGAUUCUUACUCGAAAAAGGCAAAUGUUGUGUCCAUUGUUAAGCAAAGCAAGGAGGAGUAUGCACCUCAGUCCCUGGAAAGAUUAUGGAUCUUGUCCUGAAAAUCAUCUCCAGGCAUGUAUGGAUGUAAAUGUAAUCAGGAACAGUCAGUGCAGAUUUACAAAGGGCAAGUCCUCCUUGACAAACCUGACUGCACUCUGUGAUGAAAUGAUGGCCUAUGCUGACGAAGGGAGAGGGCUGGACAGAGGAUGUAUUGGCUUUAGUGAUGAUUUUAACGCUGUCAGAACCAAGUGAGAAAACCAAACUCCUCUCUUAGAGAUGGCAGGUGGUAUAAUAUGGGGUUGUCAACGGUUUACAGGCGUUUGGCCCGGUUCCAUGACAAAGGGGACGGAGGACCCACGGGCCCAUGCCCUGGGAAAAGGGAAAAGGGGAAAAG